AUCUAGCUGACGAAUCCCAAAUGGGACGAAACGCGCGUCCCAGAU
RNAcentral lists this non-coding RNA (45 nucleotides) under Schistosoma haematobium. Lineage: Eukaryota; Metazoa; Platyhelminthes; Trematoda; Strigeidida; Schistosomatidae. The record is from RNAcentral.